This 345-nucleotide ribosomal RNA is filed under the name Triticum aestivum (bread wheat). RNAcentral's name for it is "partial small subunit ribosomal RNA". The record is from RNAcentral. Lineage: Eukaryota; Viridiplantae; Streptophyta; Magnoliopsida; Poales; Poaceae.
AUGGCCAGAUUUUACAUUCUUAAGAAGUUGAUCCCCACUACUAUCAAUUCUUUUAACAUGCACAUUGUCCACAUCAGCUUCAUGCCACAUCAGCGUUCAGUUCCCAAUUCCGUGCGUCCACCUCAGCAAAGUUGCCAUGUCACUACUUUUUUAAUUAAAAAUAACGUUCCAAUCGCUUAUUAUACGAAAGAAGAAAAACGUUGGAGCUCCCCACCAUUGCAGCCCCGUCUCCUCAAUUCCCCGCAUGGCUCACCAACUAAUUUCAUGCCUCUCUUAAUUGUAGGCAACAGAUCAUCUUCGUCUUCAUCUUAUCCACCAAAAACUGAUGGAAGAGUAAACGAUUGA